Molecule: ribosomal RNA, 771 nt
Filed under: uncultured Proteiniphilum sp.
Lineage: Bacteria; Pseudomonadati; Bacteroidota; Bacteroidia; Bacteroidales; Dysgonomonadaceae
Description: bacterial SSU rRNA
Rfam family: Bacterial small subunit ribosomal RNA
Source: RNAcentral
GAUGAACGCUAGCGACAGGCCUAACACAUGCAAGUCGAGGGGCAUCGGGGUGUAGCAAUACGCUGCCGGCGACCGGCGGAUGGGUGAGUAACGCGUAUGCAACCUGCCUUCAGCAGGGGGAUAGCCCGUUGAAAGACGGAUUAAUACCCCAUAACACAGGGGCUCCGCAUGGAGAUUAUUGUUAAAGGGAUGCUUCCUUCGGGGAGUAUUCUGGCUGAAGAUGGGCAUGCGUUCCAUUAGGUAGUUGGUUGAGGUAACGGCUCACCAAGCCUGCGAUGGAUAGGGGAACUGAGAGGUUGGUCCCCCACACUGGUACUGAGACACGGACCAGACUCCUACGGGAGGCAGCAGUGAGGAAUCUUGGUCAAUGGACGGAAGUCUGAACCAGCCCUGUCGCGUGAAGGAGGACGGCCCUAAGGGUUGUAAACUUCUUUUGCAGGGGAAUAAAGUAUUCCACGAGAUGGGAUAUUGCAAGUACGCUGCGAAUAAGGAUCGGCUAACUCCGUGCCAGCAGCCGCGGUAAUACGGAGGAUCCGAGCGUUAUCCGGAUUUAUUGGGUUUAAAGGGUGCGCAGGCGGGAAGUUAGGUCGGCGGUGAAAUUUCGGGGCUCAACCCCGAGAGUGCCGUUGAAACCGGUUUUCUUGAGUGCGGAUGAGGUAGGCGGAAUUUGUGGUGUAGCGGUGAAAUGCGUAGAUAUCACAAGGAACACCGAUUGCGGAGGCAGCUUACUAAACCGUUACUGACGCUCAUGCACGAAGGCGUGAGAUCAAA